Molecule: ribosomal RNA, 863 nt
Filed under: Streptococcus agalactiae
Lineage: Bacteria; Bacillati; Bacillota; Bacilli; Lactobacillales; Streptococcaceae
Description: bacterial SSU rRNA
Rfam family: Bacterial small subunit ribosomal RNA
Source: RNAcentral
GACGAACGCUGGCGGCGUGCCUAAUACAUGCAAGUAGAACGCUGAGGUUUGGUGUUUACACUAGACUGAUGAGUUGCGAACGGGUGAGUAACGCGUAGGUAACCUGCCUCAUAGCGGGGGAUAACUAUUGGAAACGAUAGCUAAUACCGCAUAAGAGUAAUUAACACAUGUUAGUUAUUUAAAAGGAGCAAUUGCUUCACUGUGAGAUGGACCUGCGUUGUAUUAGCUAGUUGGUGAGGUAAAGGCUCACCAAGGCGACGAUACAUAGCCGACCUGAGAGGGUGAUCGGCCACACUGGGACUGAGACACGGCCCAGACUCCUACGGGAGGCAGCAGUAGGGAAUCUUCGGCAAUGGACGGAAGUCUGACCGAGCAACGCCGCGUGAGUGAAGAAGGUUUUCGGAUCGUAAAGCUCUGUUGUUAGAGAAGAACGUUGGUAGGAGUGGAAAAUCUACCAAGUGACGGUAACUAACCAGAAAGGGACGGCUAACUACGUGCCAGCAGCCGCGGUAAUACGUAGGUCCCGAGCGUUGUCCGGAUUUAUUGGGCGUAAAGCGAGCGCAGGCGGUUCUUUAAGUCUGAAGUUAAAGGCAGUGGCUUAACCAUUGUACGCUUUGGAAACUGGAGGACUUGAGUGCAGAAGGGGAGAGUGGAAUUCCAUGUGUAGCGGUGAAAUGCGUAGAUAUAUGGAGGAACACCGGUGGCGAAAGCGGCUCUCUGGUCUGUAACUGACGCUGAGGCUCGAAAGCGUGGGGAGCAAACAGGAUUAGAUACCCUGGUAGUCCACGCCGUAAACGAUGAGUGCUAGGUGUUAGGCCCUUUCCGGGGCUUAGUGCCGCAGCUAACGCAUUAAGCACUCCGCC